GAUUUCUGGUUGGAUGCGCCUGGCCCGCCACGGUUUCGUGUGUGAGUGCCUCGGUGUGUCUGCCAUCCUUCUCGUUGCGUCCUCCGCGCUUCCUCAUUGAGGUGCGAAGGCGUGCGAGAUCGUUUACUUUGAAAAAAUUAGAGUGUUCAACGCAGGCAGUGCGCUAUGAAUACAUUAGCAUGGAAUAAUAAUUUAGGACUGUCGGUUCUAUUUUGUUGGUUUCUAGAAUCGUGGUAAUGAUUGAUAGGGAUAGUUGGGGGUGCUAGUAUUCAGUGGCCAGAGGUGAAAUUCUCGGAUUCCCUGAAGACUAACUGAUGCGAAAGCAUU
This 327-nucleotide ribosomal RNA is filed under the name uncultured Cercozoa. Its description in RNAcentral is "bacterial SSU rRNA". The stretch from base 117 to 327 matches the Rfam family "Eukaryotic small subunit ribosomal RNA", at positions 745 to 955 of the family's 1831-position model. The record is from RNAcentral. Lineage: Eukaryota; Cercozoa.